This 498-nucleotide ribosomal RNA is filed under the name uncultured bacterium. RNAcentral's name for it is "bacterial SSU rRNA". It matches the Rfam family "Bacterial small subunit ribosomal RNA", at positions 27 to 518 of the family's 1533-position model. The record is from RNAcentral.
GGACGAACGCUGGCGGCGUGCCUAACACAUGCAAGUCGAGCGAGGAGAUCCUUCGGGAUGAUCCUAGCGGCGACGGGUGAGUAACACGUGGGCAACCUGCCUCAUAGAGAGGAAUAGCCUUCCGAAAGGGAGAUUAAUACCUCAUAACAUUGCAGUUUCGCAUGGAACAGCAAUUAAAGGAGUAAUCCGCUAUGAGAUGGGCCCGCGGCGCAUUAGCUAGUUGGUGAGGUAACGGCUCACCAAGGCGACGAUGCGUAGCCGACCUGAGAGGGUGAUCGGCCACAUUGGGACUGAGACACGGCCCAAACUCCUACGGGAGGCAGCAGUAGGGAAUCUUCCGCAAUGGACGAAAGUCUGACGGAGCAACGCCGCGUGAGUGAAGAAAGGUUUUCGGAUCGUAAAACUCUGUUGUCAGAGAAGAACAAGUUGGAGAGUAACUGCUCCAGCCUUGACGGUAUCUGACCAGAAAGCCACGGCUAACUACGUGCCAGCAGCGGC